This 1288-nucleotide long non-coding RNA is filed under the name Olea europaea subsp. europaea. The record is from RNAcentral. Lineage: Eukaryota; Viridiplantae; Streptophyta; Magnoliopsida; Lamiales; Oleaceae.
AGCUUAUCUGCCACCAGUGCGCUGACCUACAGGGCCGACGCGUUGGGAGAUGGCCAAAACUUUGUAAAGCAUGGGAGGGAACGCAGCGUCUGAGGCGAUGACCCAAAAGGGCCUUCGCGUCGAGUGUGUCCAAGCUUUGUAAAGUUGAGUGAGGAACUCGAUCUGAGGCGAUUCAAACAUCAAAUGAUUUGACAACUGUUGCGUGUUUUCAAGGUGACAGUUGGGUGCCAUGCCCAUUCUCCUAAAAGGCUGCUACAGUUACUAAUUAUUAUAGACGGCUGGUUGUAACCGAGAUGACGCAUUUUAAGCAAGCAUGAAAGUCACAGCGACAUCCUGGGCGUAGAUCAAAUCUGGCGUUUCAUUUCAACGGCCUAGAUUGAAGAUGCGAUGAAUGGCCUAGAUUGAUCGCAUUUGAAUUCGACGGUGGAGAUCAGAUUUGUCUUUCUAUAAAAGGAGGACUCUGAGGUUUUCUCAAGCUUUCUACCUUUGCGAAACAAACAAUUCACUUUGCUCUCACGUAAUUGGCGAUUUCCGGCAUUUUCUAAGCAACUCCGAUGAGAAAACUGAACUUUCGACGACCCUACACCAUUUUCGGCUAGGAAAACCUCCAAACUCGUAAGUUUUAGUACCUAUUUGGGCUUUUAAAUUCUGGAAGGAUGGCCUCAGAGGGAAGUUCUAGUUCGGGGAGGGGUUUAGAACUAGUGAGGAUGGACGAGCCCCUUGUGGCGAUCUCCUCAAAAAUAACCGAGGCAAUAAUAGGGGGAAAAUAUAUGGAAGCGACCGGAUAGCCCAGCAGAUACUUCUGUGCAUUGGGGGCAUUGGAUUACCCAUCCAAAUUAAGAGAGACCGACCUGGGGAGACUUAAGACAGAGUAUAGGAUCCUUGAUAGCAUAGAUUUGAUUCUCCCUGGGCCGGAAGAGAGAGCUUGCUACCCUAGGCCGGGCUGUGUGGCCAUCAGUGAGGCGAUACUUAAGGCCGGACUUAGGCUGCCCGUUCACCCAUUCUUUAGGAUGGUGCUUAGGUCCUAUGGGCUAGCCUCGAUGCAACUCAAUCCGAACUCCUGGAGCCAAAUGGUGGGCCCUGGAUGUUGUGGAAAGAGGCAUCAUUAGGGGUGGAGAUGUCUCUCUCCGUUUUUCAGACCCUAUAUAUACCUAAGGUUACUGCUCGGGGGGAGAUAAGACCCGGGGAUGGUAUUACCUUACUUCAUGGGGUUCCCACACUCCAUUCGUGGUCGAUCUGCCGAGCUCCAUCAAAGAAUGGAAGAGCUCGUGGUGUUGGACCGCAGGGC